Pelobates cultripes (western spadefoot toad) is the source of this 299-nucleotide non-coding RNA. NCBI's taxonomy places the organism in Eukaryota, Metazoa, Chordata, Amphibia, Anura, Pelobatidae. The record is from the annotation of a GenBank genome assembly.
CUGGGGAGCAAUCGUGGCUAUCGGUGAGGCUGUUGUUGGGGACCUCCUGAACGCCUGAAACUGAAGAGUAGAGUAGAUAACUGGUCAGCCGCUGUAUUGUAAAUGCCUGGUACGUGGAAACAUACCAGAUAAAAUUUUGACAGGCUUCCCCUACGUUAGUUGUCUGAUGAAUUCAUAAUAAGGGAUAAAAGACCGGACUUGUUUAUGACGUGGCCCAUUGCCAACUUGUCAGAGACCUCAAACCAGUCUGCUUGCCCAUGAAUGACCCCAUGUUGCUGCUGUGGCUAUGAUGGGAUAUA